This 22-nucleotide microRNA is filed under the name Homo sapiens (human). RNAcentral describes it as "hsa-miR-6835-5p". Lineage: Eukaryota; Metazoa; Chordata; Mammalia; Primates; Hominidae. The record is from miRBase by way of RNAcentral.
AGGGGGUAGAAAGUGGCUGAAG